This 120-nucleotide ribosomal RNA is filed under the name Pteropus alecto (black flying fox). The record is from RNAcentral. Lineage: Eukaryota; Metazoa; Chordata; Mammalia; Chiroptera; Pteropodidae.
GUCUAUGGCCAUGCCACCCUGAACACGCCCGAUCUCAUCUGAUCUCGAAAACUAAGCAGGGUCGGGCCUGGUUAGUACUUGGAUAGGAGGCCACCUAGGAAGACCAGGUGCUUGCAGGCA